RNAcentral lists this ribosomal RNA (434 nucleotides) under uncultured Lachnospiraceae bacterium. RNAcentral's name for it is "partial 16S ribosomal RNA". It matches the Rfam family "Bacterial small subunit ribosomal RNA", at positions 341 to 792 of the family's 1533-position model. The record is from RNAcentral. Lineage: Bacteria; Bacillati; Bacillota; Clostridia; Lachnospirales; Lachnospiraceae.
ACGGGAGGCAGCAGUGGGGAAUAUUGCACAAUGGGGGAAACCCUGAUGCAGCGACGCCGCGUGAGUGAAGAAGUAUUUCGGUAUGUAAAGCUCUAUCAGCAGGGAAGAAAAUGACGGUACCUGACUAAGAAGCCCCGGCUAACUACGUGCCAGCAGCCGCGGUAAUACGUAGGGGGCAAGCGUUAUCCGGAUUUACUGGGUGUAAAGGGAGCGUAGACGGCAUGACAAGUCUGAAGUGAAAUCCCCGGGCUCAACCCGGGAACUGCUUUGGAAACUGCCAAGCUAGAGUGCAGGAGGGGCAAGCGGAAUUCCUAGUGUAGCGGUGAAAUGCGUAGAUAUUAGGAGGAACACCGGUGGCGAAGGCGGCUUGCUGGGCUGUAACUGACGUUGAGGCUCGAAAGCGUGGGGAGCAAACAGGAUUAGAUACCCUGGUA